This 219-nucleotide long non-coding RNA is filed under the name Brassica rapa (field mustard). RNAcentral describes it as "long non-coding RNA (BRAP_LNC003787)". The record is from RNAcentral. Lineage: Eukaryota; Viridiplantae; Streptophyta; Magnoliopsida; Brassicales; Brassicaceae.
GGAAAAACAAUUAUUCAUAUGGGAUAAAAACGGUCAAGGAUUAAUGAAAACAAAACAAAUUUUGUAGAGAAAAAUUAAUAUGUAUAUAUACAAAAAAGUAAAAACAAUAACAAAUAACUACUAUAGAAACAUAAAUAAUAAAAUCUAACAAAAAAUAUAUACAUUUUGGAACAACCAAACAUCUAUAUUCAGGGAGUUGCGCAUAAGUAACCGGACAUA